Molecule: RNA transcript, 3455 nt
Organism: Hemiscyllium ocellatum (epaulette shark)
Lineage: Eukaryota; Metazoa; Chordata; Chondrichthyes; Orectolobiformes; Hemiscylliidae
Gene: rbmx
Gene name: RNA binding motif protein X-linked
Exons: 12
Source: RefSeq, a predicted model, not a curated record
CGGCGGCCAUUUGCUUUUGUGGCGCAGAGCGGGACAGCGGCAGUGUUCGGGUGAGCGGCUUCAGAGGGACAGCACUGGAUGCUGCCAGAGCUGGUGAAUUUCUCCAGUACUUUGUUUUUUUUCUAGUGAAGUUUGGCUUCUCUCCCACCGGGUGUAAUUUCCUUUGGCGAUAAAGAUCAAAACUGCACGGACUUUCAGGUGACCGUCACAAUGGUGGAAGCAGAUCGUCCUGGAAAACUCUUCAUUGGCGGUCUGAAUACCGAAACAAAUGAAAAGGCGCUUGAAGCAGUAUUUGGCAAAUAUGGAAGAAUAGUAGAAGUUCUGCUGAUGAAAGAUCGUGAAACAAAUAAGUCAAGAGGUUUUGCUUUUGUUACUUUUGAAAGUCCAGGAGAUGCAAGAGAUGCAGCCAGGGAUAUGAAUGGAAAGUCUUUGGAUGGAAAACCCAUUAAAGUAGAGCAAGCUACUAAACCAGCAUUUGAAAAUAGUGGACGACGUGGACCACCCCCACCCCCAAGAAGCCGUGGUCCUCCUAGGGGGAUUCGAGGUGGAAGAGGAGGUAGUGGAGGAAUGAGAGGUCCACCUCAAAAAGGUGAGCACGGUGAAUGGAUUCAGGAGAUAGAACAGUGCUACCUUAAGAGGAAUGUACAUUUCUUUAGGAGUCCUGACCCACGAGAUGAUAUGGGAGCAUACUCUGUCUCCUCCAGAGGACCACCACUGAAAAGGGGUCCCCCAGGGCGUGCAAAUGGACCACCACCUAAAAGGCCCCUUCCUUCAGGACCAAUGCGGAGUGGAGGAAUGGGCGGAAGAGGAAGUGGGUCAAGAGGACCUCCCUCACGUGAAAGGGACAGUUAUGGUUCACCACCUUCUCGUAGAGAGAUGAUGCCCUCCAGAAGGGAUGAUUAUAUGCCAAGAGAUGAUUAUUACAAUAGCAGAGACAGUUAUUCUAGCAGAGAUUAUCCAAGUUCUAGAGAUUCAAGAGAUUAUGGUCCACCGCCAAGGGACUCCUACAGUUCUCGAGAAUAUUCUCACUCCGGGCGCGAUGAUUAUGGCUCCCGAGGAUACAGUGAUCGUGAUGGAUAUGGUGGGCGUGAACCACGUGACUACUAUAAUGAUCGCCCAAGUGGUGGCUCCUACAGAGAAUCCUAUGAUGGCUAUGGGUGAGCGUAUAGAAUCAAAUUGCUUUUGGAAAUAAUGGAAUUCUAUGCAAGUUGGAGCUUGUACCUAAACCUACAGAGUGAAGAUAACUAACCAGAUCAAAGUAACAUCUGGAUUGGAAUAGCAUGGUUGUCAAAGAACAUCCAACAAACAACGGAGCAGUAUGGUGUAUGCAGCUGUGAAUUUUUGAAUAAAAUCAAAGCAUAAAUGCUCACUAAUUAUGAUGUGUAUAUUUUGUCAUACUAAAUUUUGUUACAGCAUCAAGUAGAUAUUAAAGAGCAAGUAAGUUGUUCUAACUGCUACCAUGAUGAAUGGAAGUACAAAUGCUUACAAACCUAGGCCUGCUGUGUAACCUGAAGUGAAUUUUUAUAAAGACAAGGGAGAAGAAACUCAAUUGGAAUAUUGAUGUCAGCAUGAACUGGUUGGAUAAAAUGGCCUGUUUCUAUCCUAUAAAUGAAGGGUUUUGACAUGCUGAGGCUGUUACCUUUAGCUGCAGAAUCUUUAAUAAUCUCUCAACAAGGGGUAAUUGGUUUAGCGGGCUUGUUGGUUUGCAGAGCAGUGUUUUGCCAACAGUGUGGGUUCAAUUCCCAUCACCAUCUGUUUGAAGUUACCAUGAAGGACUCUCCUCCUUAAUCUCUAUUCCUUUGCCUGAGGUCUGGUGGCCCUCAUGUUAAAUCACCAUCAGUUUCUUCUCUCUAAAAGACUAUGGUGACACACAAUAUCAAGAGUUACAUGAGAAAUUUUUUCUCCCCACCCCAUUCCUAUCCUAGAGGGUUGUUGUGCUCUGUGACUCUGUCCAGGCCUCUUGAUUUUUAAAACUGUUGGCUGUUUUAAUUGAAAUUGAAGUAAUUGAAUCUCUGCACCAUUGCCAGAAGGGUACUGGCUAAUUACUACCUUGGUCAGAUCUCAAAGAUGUCGGCGGAAUAGUCAAUGAACAAGCUGUGUACCAAUGCUCAGUUUGAGUGCCUGGACCAUUUGGCUCCAGCUGCUUUUUGCCUGAUAACAAAUGUGCAAAAAGGCUAACUUUAUGUUUCAGUUUUGCCUCAGCUGGAAUAUAGUUCCAUCCUACUUACCACCCAAGCACCUUCAUCUCUCCCACCUGAGGAGAUUUACCAGAUUGGUAGAUUUUUGUGAGGGUUCAAUUUGAAGGGGUGGGUUUGUUCUCUGGAAGGAAAGGAGAUUUGAUGUUAGAUGCUUACAGUUAACAAAGUAAAGAUGGUACAAUGGUAGAAAAUCCUUUUAAAUGAGAGCACUGCAAGGUGAAUUACUUCAAGUGAAAACUGAAAGAGAACCUGAAAAGCUUGCCAGACUACUGCAAUAUAAAUGAACGGAGCUGAUAGGUUGCUGUAUGGGAGAGCUAGCUUAAGGUUCUGUGGACUGAUUUUUAACCAGUGCUGUGACUUCAUGGAAGUCAAGCUAGGAGUACUGCAAUGAAAACCUAAAUUGUUCUAACAUGCACAAGGAACAUGUUACAGAAUCAUGAUACAUUUUUGAGGACAAACCGUCUGGUGGCUCAGCAAAAUGCACUGCAGUGAGUCUUAAACAGUCUACUGCAUAGAAAAUAAUCAAUACUUCUGUUUAACACACCAUCCUGAUAUGAGCUUGGUUUUUCAGGAGGGUCUUCUAGCAAGGCUCUAUCAUUAAAUAUGAACUGUUGUCCUGAAUAGUUCUUGAGUUCAAAGUCUAGAUCCAAAUCUGUUACCACUUCAUUGUGUAUUAGCUGUAGUUGCAUAUGAAAGUUGUCAAAAUUGACAGGAAUGGUAUUUAUUAAAAGUCUGUUUAAAAAGGUGCCUGACCCAAGUAAACAAAGUAAUUUCACUUGCAUAUCAAAUAAAUGUUAAUUGAAAGGGAAUUGAUAACUUAAGGUGGAGGUUAACUCUAAAUCUAAUCUCUUGGGAUACCUAAACAUGCCAUCUAUUUGGGUUGUAUUUCUGUUUACCAGGAUUGAGUGUAGGGUACUAGAAAAGCAGCCAGUCAGGCAGCAUCCGAGGAACAGGAGAAUUGACGUUUCUGGCAUUCCUGAUGAAGGGCUUUACCCCAAAACAUCUAUUCCCUUGCUCCUCGGAUACUGUGUGAUUGGCUAUGCUUUUCCAGGACCAUACACUCAACUCUGAUCUCCAGCAUCUUCAGUCCUAACUUCCUCCUCUUCUGUUUACCAUACUGCAUUUUAGUUUGUGGCAUAAUUUAAGUACUUUGCCUGUACAUUCUUAUGCAAAUAAAAUGUUGAGUAAAGGUGUGUCUUGACUUCAAUCUCAUUUGCAAUCAGUUUGUCUUAAAUAAUAAAUGUUGUCUUGAAGCCA